GGAAUGCUGUCUGGUUCGAGAC
RNAcentral lists this microRNA (22 nucleotides) under Prunus persica (peach). Its description in RNAcentral is "microRNA miRNA_259". Lineage: Eukaryota; Viridiplantae; Streptophyta; Magnoliopsida; Rosales; Rosaceae. The record is from RNAcentral.